AGCUAACUUUUCAUGAGAAGCACAGAGAGACAAUUCUGAAUUCAUACUUACAUUACAUUUUGGAGCAUAGAGAAGCGAGAAAGAUUCAAAAGUUUCAGCUGUCUUGUUAUCGUCCCUUGAACUGGCAGCCUGAUGACACAUUUGAUCACUCAAUGACAUUCAAGACCCUUGUAUUGGAUUCAGAGCUUAAGAAAGCAGUGUGGGACGAUUUCAACACCUUCGUGAAUGCCAAGGAGUUCUAUGGAAGGAUUGGGAAAGCAUGGAAACGGAAUUACUUGUUAAAUGGUCCUCCUGGCUCUGGCAAAUCAAGCUUGAUUGCAGCCAUGGCU
Molecule: unclassified non-coding RNA, 329 nt
Filed under: Hevea brasiliensis (rubber tree)
Lineage: Eukaryota; Viridiplantae; Streptophyta; Magnoliopsida; Malpighiales; Euphorbiaceae
Source: RNAcentral